RNAcentral lists this ribosomal RNA (520 nucleotides) under Stegopoma bathyale. RNAcentral's name for it is "partial 16S ribosomal RNA". It matches the Rfam family "Bacterial large subunit ribosomal RNA", at positions 1892 to 2569 of the family's 2925-position model. Lineage: Eukaryota; Metazoa; Cnidaria; Hydrozoa; Leptothecata; Tiarannidae. The record is from RNAcentral.
AAAUUCAUAAAAGUUAUUUAAUAAAGUUUAAAGGACGCAGUAACCUUGACUGUGAUAAUGUAGCAUAAUCACUCGCCAUUUAAUUGAUGGAUAGUAUGAAUGGUUGAACGAAUAUUCCACUGUCUUAAAAAGAAAUACCAAAAAAUUAAAAUAAUAGUUAAGAUGCUAUUUAAAAUUGUAAGACGAAAAGACCCUAUAGAGCUUAACUAUAAUCUCUUUUAUCAACAGAAAAAAAAACAUUCAAAAAUAAAGAGAUUGGUAGUUUAGUUGGGGCGACUAUCUUUUAUAUAUAACAAAGAGAAGCAAAGUUAAUAAAAAACUUAUUGUAUAAUAAAUUAAUUUAACAAUUACAAAAGUAGGCUAUAAUGACCCGUUAUAUAUUAGUAAAAAUUAUAACGAUCAAUAAAUAAAAGCUACCUUAGGGAUAACAGGAUAAUUUCAUUUUAGAGAUCAUAUCGAAAAUGAAGUUUGUCACCUCUAUGUUGAAUUAAGAUAUCCUGACAAUGCAGAAGUUGUCAAA